GCAGUCGACGCUUCUUUUCCCACCGGAGCUUGCUCCACCGGGAAAAGAGGAGUGGCGAACGGGUGAGUAACACGUGGGUAACCUGCCCAUCAGAAGGGGAUAACACUUGGAAACAGGUGCUAAUACCGUAUAACAAUCGAAACCGCAUGGUUUCGUUUUGAAAGGCGCUUUACGGUGCCGCUGAUGGAUGGACCCGCGGUGCAUUAGCUAGUUGGUGAGGUAACGGCUCACCAAGGCCACGAUGCAUAGCCGACCUGAGAGGGUGAUCGGCCACAUUGGGACUGAGACACGGCCCAAACUCAUACGGGAGGCAGCAGUAGGGAAUCUUCGGCAAUGGACGAAAGUCUGACCGAGCAACGCCGCGUGAGUGAAGAAGGUUUUCGGAUCGUAAAACUCUGUUGUUAGAGAAGAACAAGGGUGAGAGUAACUGUUCACCCCUUGACGGUAUCUAACCAGAAAGCCACGGCUAACUACGUGCCAGCAGCCGCGGUAAUACGUAGGUGGCAAGCGUUGUCCGGAUUUAUUGGGCGUAAAGCGAGCGCAGGCGGUUUCUUAAGUCUGAUGUGAAAGCCCCCGGCUCAACCGGGGAGGGUCAUUGGAAACUGGGAGACUUGAGUGCAGAAGAGGAGAGUGGAAUUCCAUGUGUAGCGGUGAAAUGCGUAGAUAUAUGGAGGAACACCAGUGGCGAAGGCGGCUCUCUGGUCUGUAACUGACGCUGAGGCUCGAAAGCGUGGGGAGCAAACAGGAUUAGAUACCCUGGUAGUCCACGCCGUAAACGAUGAGUGCUAAGUGUUGGAGGGUUUCCGCCCUUCAGUGCUGCAGCUAACGCAUUAAGCACUCCGCCUGGGGAGUACGACCGCAAGGUUGAAACUCAAAGGAAUUGACGGGGGCCCGCACAAGCGGUGGAGCAUGUGGUUUAAUUCGAAGCAACGCGAAGAACCUUACCAGGUCUUGACAUCCUUUGACCACUCUAGAGAUAGAGCUUCCCCUUCGGGGGCAAAGUGACAGGUGGUGCAUGGUUGUCGUCAGCUCGUGUCGUGAGAUGUUGGGUUAAGUCCCGCAACGAGCGCAACCCUUAUUGUUAGUUGCCAUCAUUUAGUUGGGCACUCUAGCAAGACUGCCGGUGACAAACCGGAGGAAGGUGGGGAUGACGUCAAAUCAUCAUGCCCCUUAUGACCUGGGCUACACACGUGCUACAAUGGGAAGUACAACGAGUCGCGAAGUCGCGAGGCUAAGCUAAUCUCUUAAAGCUUCUCUCAGUUCGGAUUGUAGGCUGCAACUCGCCUACAUGAAGCCGGAAUCGCUAGUAAUCGCGGAUCAGCACGCCGCGGUGAAUACGUUCCCGGGCCUUGUACACACCGCCCGUCACACCACGAGAGUUUGUAACACCCGAAGUCGGUGAGGUAACCUUUUUGGAGCCAGCC
Molecule: ribosomal RNA, 1424 nt
Filed under: Enterococcus sp. Z3
Lineage: Bacteria; Bacillati; Bacillota; Bacilli; Lactobacillales; Enterococcaceae
Description: bacterial SSU rRNA
Rfam family: Bacterial small subunit ribosomal RNA
Source: RNAcentral